GACCGAAUGGCGUAGUGGUUAGUGACCCUGACUACUUAGCCGAAGGUCCCGGGUUCGAUUCCCGGCUGGGGCA
RNAcentral lists this transfer RNA (73 nucleotides) under Plutella xylostella (diamondback moth). Its description in RNAcentral is "tRNA-Ser". The record is from RNAcentral. Lineage: Eukaryota; Metazoa; Arthropoda; Insecta; Lepidoptera; Plutellidae.